UGCUGCAGCCCACCCCUUCCCAUCCUUCAAAACCCAGACAAAGGCUAAAGCAACUCCUCCCGCGCCCCUCCUUUUCUCUCCACCCACACAAACACGUACACACGCAUGUGCCAUCUACCCCAAACCCUUGCUCUGAAGUCACAGGCCUGACUUCCAGACUAGGCUCUGCCCCUAAGGAAAUCACCUUUCUGGUCUUAGUCUCCCCAUCUGAAAAUGGCAUAACCAACCUACCUGCCUCAAAUACAAGACCCUGCUUGUGAAGCCGGACUCCUCUGCACCACCCUCGCCACCGACGCCGGUGCGCUAGUCUCCGCUCGCUCGGAUGCACUUGCUGCGC
Molecule: long non-coding RNA, 337 nt
Filed under: Homo sapiens (human)
Lineage: Eukaryota; Metazoa; Chordata; Mammalia; Primates; Hominidae
Description: HSALNT0401269
Source: RNAcentral